This 48-nucleotide non-coding RNA is filed under the name Schistosoma haematobium. Lineage: Eukaryota; Metazoa; Platyhelminthes; Trematoda; Strigeidida; Schistosomatidae. The record is from RNAcentral.
AUUCAAUUGACGAGCCGCAAAUAGGACGAAACACGCGUCAAACUGGAU